AAGCGUUGUCCGGAAUUAUUGGGCGUAAAGAGCGUGUAGGCGGUUUGGUAAGUCUGGCGGGAAAUCCUGGGGCUCAACCCCGGGCGUGCGAUGGAUACUGCCGGGCUAGAGUGUGGGAGAGGGAUGCGGAAUUCCAGGUGUAGCGGUGAAAUGCGUAGAUAUCUGGAGGAACACCGGUGGCGAAGGCGGCAUCCUGGACCAUUACUGACACUGAAAAGCGAAAGCCAGGGGAGCAAACGGG
Molecule: ribosomal RNA, 241 nt
Filed under: uncultured bacterium
Lineage: Bacteria
Description: partial 16S ribosomal RNA
Rfam family: Bacterial small subunit ribosomal RNA
Source: RNAcentral